RNAcentral lists this ribosomal RNA (253 nucleotides) under uncultured bacterium. RNAcentral describes it as "partial 16S ribosomal RNA". It matches the Rfam family "Bacterial small subunit ribosomal RNA", at positions 524 to 776 of the family's 1533-position model. The record is from RNAcentral.
UACGGAGGGUGCAAGCGUUAUCCGGAUUCACUGGGUUUAAAGGGUGCGUAGGCGGGCAUUUAAGUCAGUGGUGAAAUACCUGAGCUUAACUUGGGAACUGCCAUUGAUACUAUUUGUCUUGAAUGUCGUGGAGGUUAGCGGAAUAUGUCAUGUAGCGGUGAAAUGCUUAGAUAUGACAUAGAACACCUAUUGCGAAGGCAGCUUGCUACACUACUAUUGACACUGAGGCACGAAAGCGUGGGGAUCAAACAGG